CCUUGUACACACCGCCCGUCACACCAUGGGAGCGGGUUCUGCCAGAAGUAGUUAGCCUAACCGCAAGGAGGGCGAUUACCACGGUAGGAUUCGUGACUGGGGUG
Molecule: ribosomal RNA, 104 nt
Filed under: uncultured bacterium
Lineage: Bacteria
Description: partial 16S ribosomal RNA
Rfam family: Bacterial small subunit ribosomal RNA
Source: RNAcentral